CUAUAAUGCAGUAGAACGCUGAAGAGAGGAGCUUGCUCUUCUUGGAUGAGUUGCGAACGGGUGAGUAACGCGUAGGUAACCUGCCUUGUAGCGGGGGAUAACUAUUGGAAACGAUAGCUAAUACCGCAUAACAAUGGAUGACACAUGUCAUUUAUUUGAAAGGGGCAAUUGCUCCACUACAAGAUGGACCUGCGUUGUAUUAGCUAGUAGGUGAGGUAAUGGCUCACCUAGGCGACGAUACAUAGCCGACCUGAGAGGGUGAUCGGCCACACUGGGACUGAGACACGGCCCAGACUCCUACGGGAGGCAGCAGUAGGGAAUCUUCGGCAAUGGGGGCAACCCUGACCGAGCAACGCCGCGUGAGUGAAGAAGGUUUUCGGAUCGUAAAGCUCUGUUGUAAGUCAAGAACGGGUGUGAGAGUGGAAAGUUCACACUGUGACGGUAGCUUACCAGAAAGGGACGGCUAACUACGUGCCAGCAGCCGCGGUAAUACGUAGGUCCCGAGCGUUGUCCGGAUUUAUUGGGCGUAAAGCGAGCGCAGGCGGUUUGAUAAGUCUGAAGUUAAAGGCUGUGGCUCAACCAUAGUUCGCUUUGGAAACUGUCAAACUUGAGUGCAGAAGGGGAGAGUGGAAUUCCAUGUGUAGCGGUGAAAUGCGUAGAUAUAUGGAGGAACACCGGUGGCGAAAGCGGCUCUCUGGUCUGUAACUGACGCUGAGGCUCGAAAGCGUGGGGAGCGAACAGGAUUAGAUACCCUGGUAGUCCACGCCGUAAACGAUGAGUGCUAGGUGUUGGAUCCUUUCCGGGAUUCAGUGCCGCAGCUAACGCAUUAAGCACUCCGCCUGGGGAGUACGACCGCAAGGUUGAAACUCAAAGGAAUUGACGGGGGCCCGCACAAGCGGUGGAGCAUGUGGUUUAAUUCGAAGCAACGCGAAGAACCUUACCAGGUCUUGACAUCCCGAUGCUAUUUCUAGAGAUAGAAAGUUACUUCGGUACAUCGGUGACAGGUGGUGCAUGGUUGUCGUCAGCUCGUGUCGUGAGAUGUUGGGUUAAGUCCCGCAACGAGCGCAACCCCUAUUGUUAGUUGCCAUCAUUCAGUUGGGCACUCUAGCGAGACUGCCGGUAAUAAACCGGAGGAAGGUGGGGAUGACGUCAAAUCAUCAUGCCCCUUAUGACCUGGGCUACACACGUGCUACAAUGGUUGGUACAACGAGUUGCGAGUCGGUGACGGCGAGCUAAUCUCUUAAAGCCAAUCUCAGUUCGGAUUGUAGGCUGCAACUCGCCUACAUGAAGUCGGAAUCGCUAGUAAUCGCGGAUCAGCACGCCGCGGUGAAUACGUUCCCGGGCCUUGUACACACCGCCCGUCACACCACGAGAGUUUGUAACACCCGAAGUCGGUGAGGUAACCUUUGGAGCCAG
This 1416-nucleotide ribosomal RNA is filed under the name Streptococcus thermophilus. Its description in RNAcentral is "bacterial SSU rRNA". It matches the Rfam family "Bacterial small subunit ribosomal RNA". The record is from RNAcentral. Lineage: Bacteria; Bacillati; Bacillota; Bacilli; Lactobacillales; Streptococcaceae.